Molecule: ribosomal RNA, 158 nt
Filed under: Puccinia pseudomesnieriana
Lineage: Eukaryota; Fungi; Basidiomycota; Pucciniomycetes; Pucciniales; Pucciniaceae
Description: 5.8S ribosomal RNA
Source: RNAcentral
CACACACUCUUCAAGUAAGUUGGAUUGACUUGGUGUAAUAAUUUAAUCAUCACAUCAAGGAAAGUAGUCAAAUACUUGCCAUCUUUUGAAAGGGGAGAGAGAGGGACUUCUAAAACCCCAUUAAAUAUUUUAAGACCUCAAAUCAGGUGGGACUACCC